Molecule: ribosomal RNA, 395 nt
Filed under: Bruchidius biguttatus
Lineage: Eukaryota; Metazoa; Arthropoda; Insecta; Coleoptera; Chrysomelidae
Description: partial 12S ribosomal RNA
Source: RNAcentral
UAAACUAGGAUUAGAUACCCUAUUAUUUUAAAGGUUAAUCUUAAAUAUCAAAUUAGUAUUAGUUAUUUUCUUGAAAAUUAAAAAAUUUGGCGGUAUUUUAGUCUUUUCAGAGGAACCUGUCCUAUAAUUGAUAGUCCACGAUAAUAUUUACUUUUAUUAUUAGUUUACAUAUCGUCGUAGUUUAAAUAUUUUAAUAGAAAAUAUUUAAAAUUUUGUAUUAAAGAAUAAAUCAGAUCAAGGUGUAGUAUAUAUAAAAGAAGAGAUGGGUUACAUUAAAUUUAUUUUUUGAAUAAUUUUUUUUAAAAAAAUUUGAAUUUGGAUUUGAAAGUAAUUUUUUAUAUUUUUUUAGGAUGAUUUAAGCUCUAAAAUAUGCACACAUCGCCCGUCGCUCUUAA